GUGCCAGCAGCCGCGGUAAGACGUAGGGGGCAAGCGUUGCUCGGAAUCACUGGGCUUAAAGGGUGCGUAGGCGGCACGGCAAGUUGGGUGUGAAGGCCCUCGGCUCAACCGAGGAAUUGCGCCCAAAACUGCCGCGCUCGAGGGAGACAGAGGUGAGCGGAACUUAGGGUGGAGCGGUGAAAUGCGUUGAUAUCCUAAGGAACACCGGUGGCGAAAGCGGCUCACUGGGUCUCUUCUGACGCUGAGGCACGAAAGCUAGGGGAGCGAACGGGAUUAGAUACCCCGGUAGUCCUAGCUGUAAACGAUGAGCACUGGGUCGGAGAGUCUUCCAUAACUUUCCGGCCGAAGCGAAAGUGUUAAGUGCUCCGCCUGGGGAGUAUGGUCGCAAGGCUGAAACUUAAAGGAAUUGACGGGG
Molecule: ribosomal RNA, 415 nt
Filed under: uncultured prokaryote
Description: bacterial SSU rRNA
Rfam family: Bacterial small subunit ribosomal RNA
Source: RNAcentral